This is a long non-coding RNA of Delphinapterus leucas (beluga whale), 994 nucleotides long. RefSeq lists it as uncharacterized. NCBI's taxonomy places the organism in Eukaryota, Metazoa, Chordata, Mammalia, Artiodactyla, Monodontidae. The record is from RefSeq and is a predicted model, not a curated record.
GCCGCGCGCGCUCGCGCAAGUGUCGGGGGCGGAGUGUGGAGUGCGGGGCGCGGACGCACGUGGGGAGCGUCCUCGACUUCCCCGGCUCCGUGGUUUCCUUCGCUUAGCGUUCGUCGGAUUUCGGCGCCCGGAGCGCGCCCUGCUGCGGGUCCUGGAGCCCUGACUGCCCAGGCAGCCAGGCCGCUGGCCCUGCCUCGGGUGUAGCCUGGACACGCCUGGCCCACUUCCUUUCCCUUCUUUAAGCAUCACAUCCUGCGCUGCCCGUUGUCCAGUGUCCGAAAACCAUUGUUUCUUAUAUUUGAAUUUUUUAGUUGACGGAGGUAAGCUUAAAUCCAGUCGCUAACGCUUCAUCGUGGCCCAACGCAGAGGCCAAUAGAAGUUUGUUGAGACAGUGACUCAGCUGUGCUAUUUAAACUUUUAUUGAAAUGAAGUUCAGCUGAAAGUACAGAGAAAAAAUACAAAAUGCAAAUAGUCCUUUCUUUUUUUCACUUCUCUGAAAGUGAGGUCUAAAGAAGUUACCAAGUUGAUUGGAAAUACGUCAUUGAUUGUUAAAGGCCUAAAAGUUAAAGUUUUUGAUGUACAUUGGAGUAAAUGAUAUACUGAUGAAACAAGAUAAUCUGAAGCUUUAUUGAAGAUAAUUUUUUUCCUAAUGGAAUUAAAUUUUCUAAGAUGGCCACUCCUAUUUGGAAGUUCGUUGAAACAGACUAAAAACAAGUAUCCACGAGCCCUUCUCCACCAGUUGUCCUGGGGAUGCUUCAGUCCUGGGAUGGAACAUAUGCCCAGCUUCAGCUCAUCAGAAAAUCUCAGUGCCCUGGCCAUAGUGACUCACAGUGACGCGGUAGCACUGGAUUGCAUUCUGAAGGGCUGCUGCAACCUUCGUGUGCCGUUCUACGUUUGGGUCCUGUCCCUCAAAAACUCACAGUGCCUCCUCAAAUAAAGAAAAUCCCCUUGCCAUUUCCUGCGUCGUGAAUCUCUUCUUAGCAGUACCAGCUAC